AUGAUUGUUUUUUUCCUAAAGCACAUUUUUCGGUGGUUUCGCUCUUUCCCGAGGAGGAGAGCCACAGCUACGUGCCCCUGUAACCAAGCUGGGCUGAACCACAUCCACAAGUCCUGUGGGCAUAGAGACUGGGAACACUUGGACCUCCUUCAGGACAGGCCCGAAGGCGCUAGAGGGCCGCAAGAGGAAAGACAACUGCCUCAAAGCACAGAUGAGCUCAUCGACUCACCUGGGCAGCCUGUUCAGCAUUCGCUCUGCCCCUGGCACAUCCAGAAGCCCCUGCACAAUGUGGGUACGAUGUGUUGAUGUCAACAGUUUUGCUGGAACCCACAGAUCCAUAAAGCUGCUAACAAGAACACGGAACAAGGUGUUAACGUGGGCGGUGGGUGGAGGUUUAGGACAGUAAGUGUCCUGAGAGAGGGGCGAGAACAGGAAGUCUCAGAGAGCCUCCCUGAGGAGCAGCCUUUGAGAGGGGCUUAGAUCACUCAUAGCCCCAAGUCGCACUUGGCCCAGUUCAAUUAUUAAAGCAUAACAUAGGGGCGCCUGGGUGGCUCAGUCAACUAAGCGGUUGCCUUCGGCUCGGGUCACAAUCCUGAGGUCCUGGGAUCGAGCCCCACAUUGGGCCCCCGGCUCAGCGGAGAGUCUGCUUCUCCCUCUCCCUCUACCUCUCUCUCCACUCAUGCUCUCUAUCUCUCUCCCUCUCAAAUAAAUAUAUAAAAUCUUUUUUAAAAAGAGAGAGAGGGACACCUGGGUCACUCAGUGGUUGAGUGUCUGCCUUCGACUCAGGGCAUGAUCCUGGGGUCCGGGAUCGGGUCCCACAUCGGGCUCCCCAUAGGGAGCCUGCUUCUCCCUCUGCCGGUGUCUCUGCCUCUCUCUCUCUCUCUCUCUCCCUGUGUCUCUCAUGAAUAAAUAAAUAAAAUCUUUAA
This 926-nucleotide long non-coding RNA is filed under the name Canis lupus familiaris (dog). RNAcentral describes it as "lncRNA (ENSCAFG00845008280.1)". The record is from RNAcentral. Lineage: Eukaryota; Metazoa; Chordata; Mammalia; Carnivora; Canidae.